CCCUUAGAUGUUCUGGGCCGCACGCGCGCUACACUGAUGCAUGCAACAAGUCUUUUCCUUGGCCGAGAGGCCUGGGCAAUCUUUGAAUAUGCAUCGUGAUGGGGAUAGACGAUUGCAAUUAUUCGUCUUCAACGAGGAAUUCCUAGUAAACGCAAGUCAUCAGCUUGCAUUGAUUACGUCCCUGCCCUUUGUACACACCGCCCGUCGCACCUACCGAUUGAAUGGUCCGGUGAAGGCUUCGGAGGCGGCUUUCUCAAUGUUUAUUCGGCGAGACUGCUGCCAAAGUUGAAUGAACCUUACCAUUUAGAGGAAGGUGAANUCGUAACA
RNAcentral lists this ribosomal RNA (327 nucleotides) under uncultured eukaryote. Its description in RNAcentral is "partial 18S ribosomal RNA". It matches the Rfam family "Eukaryotic small subunit ribosomal RNA", at positions 1470 to 1796 of the family's 1831-position model. The record is from RNAcentral.